This 450-nucleotide ribosomal RNA is filed under the name uncultured bacterium. RNAcentral's name for it is "partial 16S ribosomal RNA". It matches the Rfam family "Bacterial small subunit ribosomal RNA", at positions 354 to 796 of the family's 1533-position model. The record is from RNAcentral.
GUCGAGAAUAAUUCACAAUGGACGAAAGUCUGAUGGUGCAACGCCGCGUGGAGGAUGACGGUCUUCGGAUUGUAAACUCCUGUCAUCCGGGAGUAAGACCUGGCUGUGAAUAGCAGACAGGGUUGAUAGUACCGGAAGAGGAAGGGACGGCUAACUUCGUGCCAGCAGCCGCGGUAAUACGAAGGUCCCGAGCGUUGUUCGGAAUCUCUGGGCGUAAAGGGAGCGUAGGCGGCGUGGUAAGUCAGAUGUGAAAUCCCGGGGCUCAACCCCGGAACUGCAUCCGAUACUGCCGUGCUAGAGGAUUGGAGAGGUAGCUGGAAUUCUUGGUGUAGCAGUGAAAUGCGUGGAGAUCAAGAGGAACACUCGUGGCGAAAGCGAGCUACUGGACAAUAUCUGACGCUGAGGCUCGAAGGCCAGGGUAGCGAAAGGGAUUAGAAACCCCUGUAGUCC